UCAACAAUACAAGUCUAUCAACGAUAGUUUUGCUAUAUUUGCAAUUAUUUUUAAAUGUUGUUAUAUCCUUAAUUAUUAUUUCUCAAAUUGCUAUCCCUUACAAUUACUCAUGUAUUAACAUAUAGCAUUUUUUUUCAGAUUCUAUCAAUAAUAUACAUGAGUAGACAUUGGUCAACUGGUGUCUAGAGAUGAAGUUUUUGUAGACCCAACAAAGAUUAAAGUUGUUACCAAUCCACCUCGACCUUACAGUUAGUGAGGUUCAUAGCUUUCUAGGCUUAGCAGAUUUGGAUGCACUAUUUGUAUGGAGAGAAAAUACAAAACUUUAUAGAUUAUAAGAGUUCAAAGUACUUAUUCACCUAGAAGGAGUUGAACAUGAGAUAACGUAGAUGAUUCGAGUUGUUGAAAGACUAUGACUGCGAGAUCUUGUACCAUCCAAGUAAGUCUAAUGUAGUAGCUGAUGCUUUUAGCAGAAAAGUAACUCAUCAGUAGCUUUUAUUAUCAAAUAGACUCAGUAGUAGCAAGACUUUGAACGAGUGAAGAUUUCAAUUAGAGUGGGAGAAGUUACCUCACAGGUGACCCAAUUGACAGUGUAACUGACCUUAAGGUUGGGAAUUAUUGUGACCUAGCAUACGAUCCUUAUUUGAGUAAGAAGCGUCACCUAGCAGAAGCAUGACAAGUUGAUGAUUUCUCUAUAUUAUUAUUUAAGGAUGGUCUCCCGUUUAAGAGACGUUUGUAUGCUAGUAGACAAUGAAGUUAAGAAAGAUUUGUUGAUUGAAGUUGUUGAAUUAGAAGGACAUGUAAUUUACCAUAUGAAGACUGUAUUGUCUAUACUUUGGUUGCUUUUAUGUUUUUUUUAUGAUUCCAGUGUCAUGGAUGUUUUUAUUUUAAAUUUAUGAACAUUUUAUUUUCAAGUUUAUAGGCCUCAAACAAAAUAUCUCUUUCAUAGUUUUAUUUUAUUAUUAUUUAAUGAAAAUGAGUAGAUUUUGGAUUGUUUUAGUUUUCCAAAUAUCAUUUUUAAUUAAGUAGCAAUCACAAUUUAGUUGAGAAAAGUUAGGUGAUUACACGUGUUUGAGUCUUUUCCAAAUACAAAGUAAGAAGAAGAAUUUGAUACUAAAAUCAAACCAUUAGAUUAGAUUAGUUUGGUUUGGUUUUUUUGUAUUUUGUAUUUUUCAUUGCUGUUAUUACUAAUGAAUGAGGUUUGUUAUAUUUAUAAAUAAGUUAAAUCUAUUUGUUUUAUAUUUGAUAAUAAAUUUUGAAAAGUAAAUAUAGGAGUUGCCAGUAAAAACAAACUUAAAGAAACUUGUGAGUAGAAAAAUAAUGUAAUGGGUAAAUUAGGUAUAGAAUUAGGUGCAGUAAAUAAAAUUUACAAUUAUGAUUAGGAAGGGAAGAAAGUUUGAAAAAAAAUUGGUAAGGAAUAAAGUGGAAAGUUUGAUUAGGAAGCUUUGUAUUCCCGAAAAAGAAAAAAAAGAAAAGAAAAGGAUUAGUAAGGUUUCGGUAUCAUAGCAUCACCAAUAAGCACAUGGGUGUGUGUGAAGGACCAAUCCCAUCUCUCAAUUUUUCUCCAACCUCUCAUCUCUUCCUAAAUCUUUCCUUUAGAUCCUCCCUUCAAUCCCACCCUCCACGCGUCCUCAUCUCUGAAUCCCCCUCUCCACCCACACUUCAUCUCACGCGCCUCCCUCCACAAAUAUCUCAUCUCCAUCAAGUAUCCCACACGCUCCAUCAAUCGCGUGGAGUAACGCAAUCGGUUAUAACUUUAGUUUCACCUCUCUAAUAACAAAAUACCACGUGUUACCAUUCUCGAACCUACCGCAUAAAAAGAAAAUAAAAUAAACAAAAUUAAGAAAAAGGAAGCCUUCCCACUUCACGCUUCCCCCAAGACCAGCCACGUGUGCCCCACCUUUCGGCAGUGCUUGACACUCCCUCACUUCUUAUUGGUCCACUCUGGUCCCCACUCCCAAAAACAGAAUCCAAUUACUACCAGAUUUUGCAUCUUUCCUUCUCCGGCCCCACUCUCUAUAAAACAUAAUUCAACCAAUUAACGUCCCGUCACUGUUUCCGUUACCUAGCCCUAGAGCCACGUGUCCUUCUUUCUUCUUUCUUUCUUUCUUUCUUUCUUUUUUUCUUUCUUUUUUUCUUUUUUUUUCCUUUUGCGCUUUUCUUUUGCUGUUUCUUUCUUCUAUCUUUCUAAUCUCUAUGAUCAUCUUCACCACUUUCUCUCUCUCCCCUCUCUCCCAAAAUGGAAACGAAAACGCUACCUCUUCUUAAUUAGGAUUUUGGAAAUCGGUUUUGUUUUCUUCUGUUCCUUAUGGAUGGUGGUGAAGCAGCGUCCACGCGGCGGAUGAUCGGAUCUUGUACUGGUGGAAGUAAUUGUAAGCCGAUUUUGAAUCCGAUAAUGAUGAGAUUCCGACCGAUUGCUCCCAAGCCACUCCCCGGCGGAUCUGUUCCAUCGUCGUUAGACAGUAAGAACAACAACUCAUCGAUUUCCAAAGGAAGAACGAAAAGGAAGUACGUUAGGGUUAGAAGAUAUAACAGAAAAAAGAAAACUACUACACGAAACAACAACAGUACAACCGAGGACGGAGAGUUGAUGGAUCACGAUCAAACCGCCGUGACGACACUACAACUACUACCGGUCAUCGGCGGCGGUGGUGGAUCUGAGAAUAAAACAGAAACGGGAAGAAGGAUGAUGGAGAAAGAGAUGAGAUUAGUAUCAGAUCCAAAAGGUGGAGUAGGGGUGGAAUUGUGGGUGACGGUAGAAUGCGUGAGAGACGCAUGCAUGGAUCUAGAACUGAGAGAGGGAGAGAUAGGGUGUACGGAUGAGGAGAGGAUAAAGAAUUUAGAGAUGGACACGUGUCCAGGGUUUGUAUCGGACGGUAUGAAUAGAGUAGAGUGGUUGAACAAGGCAUUUAAGAGGAUGGUGUGGCAAAGGGAAAGGAAUAAUAAGGAUAGUAAGAGUAAGAAGAAGAAGAAGGAGGAGGAGGAGGGAGGUAAGGGUGAGUGCGACUGCGACUGCGACUGUGAGUCACCGGCAGAAGUAAGUGUAUGGUUAAUAUCAAAACCCAAAUUACCAAAUAUGAGGAGAGUGUUUACGUGCCAAAUAAAGCUGCAGUUCAAAAGAGGUACGGAAAUGGAGAAGGACUCGAGAGUUGUGCCGUGCGAUGCGUGGAGAAUGGACGGUGGAGGAUUUGCAUGGAAAUUAGAC
RNAcentral lists this long non-coding RNA (3202 nucleotides) under Cucumis sativus (cucumber). Its description in RNAcentral is "long non-coding RNA (CSAT_LNC002167)". Lineage: Eukaryota; Viridiplantae; Streptophyta; Magnoliopsida; Cucurbitales; Cucurbitaceae. The record is from RNAcentral.